RNAcentral lists this long non-coding RNA (606 nucleotides) under Setaria italica (foxtail millet). RNAcentral describes it as "long non-coding RNA (SITA_LNC006577)". Lineage: Eukaryota; Viridiplantae; Streptophyta; Magnoliopsida; Poales; Poaceae. The record is from RNAcentral.
UCUUUCCUCGCGAAGAACAGGUAUCUCCCCCGCGCAGGUCCCGUUCGGCAUCCGCGGCGCUGGUCCCACACCGCCCCAUUCCCUCGCCGCCGGGCCGCAUAGGCAGCUACCUGCGCGAGCGCUCCGCCGUUGCUGCUGCUCCACGCACCGCCCUUACUGCUGCUCUGCGCACCGCCGGUGAUCCCCGGCCACGCCCUCCGGCCCCGGCUUUGCUCCGCCGCUACAGUUGCCCGGCCGCUGCUCCGCCACAGCUGCAGGUGUCCGGCCGUGCGCGCCAUAGGGCCAGGUGAGUGGGGAGGCUAGGUGGCAUUUUGGGGUGAAAAUUAGGUGAAUUCCGGGGGCAUUUUGGUACCGCUAAAUGCGAGGACAGGGUAGGAGCCGGGGGGAAGCUGUUUUCAGGUAAAGUUCUACCAAAUGGAGCCUAUAGCUUUGCCAUACACACUGCUCUUUAUUUCAUCUGUCAGACAUUGGCCAUAGUUCAGCGAGGAAGCGUGGCAUCAUGUGGAACGUAACGAAACAUCAGUGUACACACAUACGUUGCGGCACUCGCAGUUUCCAAACUGUGGCUGUACAAACCAUUGGCCCUUCUGCUGCUGAAUUUUGCAC